Molecule: long non-coding RNA, 521 nt
Organism: Rhagoletis zephyria (snowberry fruit fly)
Lineage: Eukaryota; Metazoa; Arthropoda; Insecta; Diptera; Tephritidae
Source: RefSeq, a predicted model, not a curated record
UCACAGCGUACUUUUGUGGACAAAUCUGUGAAAAAUUUUUAAUUCACCGGAAUUGUGUGGGAGCACCCAAGGUUCAGCUCCACAGGUGUCAAUACCGUCCACCUCACUCAAAACCCUCCCCAUCCCUAACACAACCCAACUGUCACACCAACAAACCCUGCUUUCGAAAUUCCAUCAUACUUAUAUAUACCGAUCAUACAAACGCAACGUCAACAUCAUCAAGUCUACUCCCACAUAACCAUCGUUAUCAUCUACUACGUUUGAUUACCUGCCAUUCAACCGCAUAAACCAACUCACACUUUCGUCUUCACUGUGGAACCAUCAUUAUUCAAACGAUAACACAUUCAAUUGCAGAAAUCUGCUACCGUUUUAAAGGACACAUCUCCGACCAAAUUGCAGUAUACACACAUUGUGCUUAGAUGCACUCUCGUGUAACAUUGCUACAGAUCUAUUAAAGCAGAGGGAUAACCUGGCGUUGGGGAAACCUGCCAACCUACUCAAAUCUCAAAAAAAAAAAAAAA